Molecule: ribosomal RNA, 2418 nt
Filed under: Triticum aestivum (bread wheat)
Lineage: Eukaryota; Viridiplantae; Streptophyta; Magnoliopsida; Poales; Poaceae
Description: partial small subunit ribosomal RNA
Source: RNAcentral
AUGGACGGAGGCCAGUCGCCGCGGCCUCAGCAGCACCACCGCAUGCCGGAGCGGGAGGGCAACAACAACUACGACGUUGAGGGCAUGGACGGUGCAGCAGAAGGGGAUUGGUGGCAGAACAGUUCUUCUAACGCGCUGCUUCGGUACGACGACCGCGGGAGCGCAUGCGAGCCGCUCAUGCGGAAGCGCACCAUCAACACCACCUCCCAGAUCGCCAUUGUUGGCGCCAACAUUUGCCCCAUCGAGAGCCUCGACUAUGAAGUUGUGGAGAACAACCUUUUCAAGCAAGACUGGCGGUCAAGAAAGAAGAAGCAGAUAUUUCAGUACAUUGUUAUGAAGUGGACUUUGGUGCUUCUAAUCGGCCUGUUGACUGGACUUGUUGGCUUCUUCAAUAACCUUGCAGUCGAAAACAUUGCUGGCUUAAAAUUGCUAAUCACAAGUGACCUUAUGCUCAAGCAAAGGUAUUUCACUGCAUUUUUGGCAUAUGGAGGUUCCAAUCUAGUCUUGGCAGCAGCAGCUGCAGCAAUAUGUGCUUACAUUGCACCUGCAGCUGCUGGAUCUGGUAUUCCUGAAGUUAAAGCAUAUCUUAAUGGAGUUGAUGCCUAUUCCAUACUGGCUCCUAGUACACUCUUUGUGAAGAUAUUUGGUUCAAUACUUGGAGUUUCAGCUGGAUUCGUACUUGGAAAGGAAGGUCCAAUGGUACAUACGGGAGCGUGCAUUGCAAACUUACUUGGUCAGGGAGGGUCACGCAAGUACCAUCUUACAUGCAAUUGGCUAAGAUAUUUCAAGAAUGACAGGGAUAGGCGGGAUUUGAUUACGUGUGGGUGCGCAGCUGGAGUGGCCGCUGCCUUCCGCGCACCUGUUGGUGGCGUCCUGUUUGCUCUUGAGGAAGCAGCAUCAUGGUGGCGAAGUGCUCUUUUAUGGAGAGCAUUCUUUACAACUGCUGUUGUUGCUGUCGUGUUGAGGACUCUGAUUGAGUUCUGUCGCAGUGGAAAGUGUGGUCUCUUUGGGCAAGGUGGAUUGAUUAUGUUUGAUCUAAGUUCAACUGUUGCAACCUAUAGUAGUCCGGAUCUACUUGCAAUAAUUCUCCUUGGAAUAAUUGGUGGUAUAUUCGGAGGCCUCUUCAACUUUCUCUUGGAUAAAAUUCUUCGUAUUUAUAGUAUUAUCAAUGAGAGAGGUGCUCCGUCCAAGAUCCUUCUCACUAUAAUAGUAUCAGUUAUCACAUCAAUGUGCUCGUAUGGCCUCCCUUGGCUUGCUUCGUGCACUCAAUGCCCUGAGGAUGCCGUGGAGCAAUGUCCUACCGUUGGUCGCUCUGGCAACUAUAAGAACUUUCAGUGCCCACCAGGGUAUUACAAUGGUAUGGCAUCACUUUUCUUCAAUACAAACGAUGAUGCCAUACGCAAUCUUUUCAGCACUGGAACCGCAACCGAGUACCACAUGUCUAGUCUUUUCAUCUUCUUCAUCGCAAUUUACUGCCUUGGACUUGUAACUUAUGGAAUUGCCGUCCCAUCUGGUCUCUUCAUCCCUGUUAUCCUUGCCGGAGCCACAUACGGUCGAAUAGUGGGCACGCUCUUAGGAUCCAUAUCAAGUCUUGACCCUGGACUUUUUGCGCUUCUUGGUGCGGCGUCUUUUCUCGGUGGGACAAUGAGAAUGACUGUGUCUGUCUGUGUGAUCCUUCUAGAACUCACCAAUGAUCUACAAAUGCUCCCUUUGGUCAUGCUUGUUCUUCUAAUAUCGAAGACCAUAGCGGAUAACUUUAACAAAGGGGUUUAUGAUCAGAUAGUGGUAAUGAAAGGUUUGCCGUACAUGGAGGCUCAUGCUGAACCGUACAUGAGACAUUUGGUUGCUGGUGAUGUUGUGUCUGGUCCACUAAUCACCUUUUCAGGUGUUGAGAAGGUAGGGGACAUUGUUACCGCGUUGAGGAUCACAGGCCACAAUGGAUUUCCAGUGGUUGAUGAGCCACCUCUAACAGAAGUGCCUGAGUUGGUUGGGCUUGUGAUCAGGUCUCAUCUAUUGGUUUUGCUGAAAGGCAAGAUGUUCAUGAAGGAGCCAGUGAAAAUGAGUGGUAGCUUUGUUAUGGAAAGAUUUGGUGCCUUUGAUUUUGCUAAGGCAGGGUCAGGGAAGGGUUUGAAAAUUGAGGAUCUACAUUUCACUGAUGAGGAGAUGCAAAUGUAUGUUGAUCUCCAUGCAAUUGCAAACACCUCGCCAUAUACGGUGGUUGAGACAAUGUCACUAGCAAAAGUUGCACUCCUAUUCCGAGAACUGGGAUUGAGGCAUCUCUUGGUUGUUCCAAAGACCCCAGACAGGCCUCCCAUUGUUGGAAUUCUCACAAGGCAUGAUUUUGUGGCGGAACAUAUCCACGGCCUGUUCCCUAGUCUCAAUCCUCACAACUUUCAUUCAGCCUCAAUGGGAGGUUGA